GAGGGUAUGGCUCAGUGGUAGAGCGCAUGCUUAGCAUGCAUGGGGUCUAGCUUCAACCCCCAGUAUCUCCA
This 71-nucleotide transfer RNA is filed under the name Camelus dromedarius (Arabian camel). It matches the Rfam family "tRNA". Rfam says of the family: Transfer RNA (tRNA) molecules are approximately 80 nucleotides in length. Their secondary structure includes four short double-helical elements and three loops (D, anti-codon, and T loops). The record is from Rfam by way of RNAcentral. Lineage: Eukaryota; Metazoa; Chordata; Mammalia; Artiodactyla; Camelidae. RNAcentral also lists the same sequence under 1 other name.